CCUCCCCCCUGGCUUUGCAGGCUCUUGGUGGAGAAAAGCAGAGAGGCCACCCAUGGUAUCCCUGUGGCCCUGAGGACGCUCAGGAGCCCGGGCACCCCGCCGCCUCGCGCCACAACUAACAGGGGGAAUCUAUCUGACCUUCAAAACAAGAACCACAAAGACCUCCUCUAAUUUAUAUGUCGUUCUGUUAAAGUCACAUGUCUUCCCUGGAACAGACUCCGAAGCCACCGGCCUGAUGGUGCCAAGAGCCUUGGGCUUCCUCAGUGGGAGGUGAUGUGGGGAGAUGGAACAGGUGGCUUUUCUCGUUUCCCACUCUGCUUCAGUCAGAGAAGCCUCUUUUCAUCAAUUUGA
Molecule: long non-coding RNA, 351 nt
Organism: Myotis davidii
Lineage: Eukaryota; Metazoa; Chordata; Mammalia; Chiroptera; Vespertilionidae
Exons: 2
Source: RefSeq, a predicted model, not a curated record